Molecule: ribosomal RNA, 573 nt
Filed under: Staphylococcus chromogenes MU 970
Lineage: Bacteria; Bacillati; Bacillota; Bacilli; Caryophanales; Staphylococcaceae
Description: bacterial SSU rRNA
Rfam family: Bacterial small subunit ribosomal RNA
Source: RNAcentral
UUUUAUGGAGAGUUUGAUCCUGGCUCAGGAUGAACGCUGGCGGCGUGCCUAAUACAUGCAAGUCGAGCGAACUGACGAGGAGCUUGCUCCUUUAAUGUUAGCGGCGGACGGGUGAGUAACACGUGGGUAACCUACCUAUAAGACUGGAAUAACUCCGGGAAACCGGGGCUAAUGCCGGAUAACAUAUCGAACCGCAUGGUUCGAUAGUGAAAGACGGUCUUGCUGUCACUUAUAGAUGGACCCGCGCCGUAUUAGCUAGUUGGUGAGGUAACGGCUCACCAAGGCAACGAUACGUAGCCGACCUGAGAGGGUGAUCGGCCACACUGGAACUGAGACACGGUCCAGACUCCUACGGGAGGCAGCAGUAGGGAAUCUUCCGCAAUGGGCGAAAGCCUGACGGAGCAACGCCGCGUGAGUGAUGAAGGUCUUCGGAUCGUAAAGCUCUGUUGUUAGGGAAGAACAAAUGUGUAAGUAACUGUGCACAUCUUGACGGUACCUAACCAGAAAGCCACGGCUAACUACGUGCCAGCAGCCGCGGUAAUACGUAGGUGGCAAGCGUUAUCCGGAAUUAUU